This 253-nucleotide ribosomal RNA is filed under the name uncultured bacterium. RNAcentral describes it as "partial 16S ribosomal RNA". It matches the Rfam family "Bacterial small subunit ribosomal RNA", at positions 524 to 776 of the family's 1533-position model. The record is from RNAcentral.
UACAGAGGGUGCGAGCGUUAAUCGGAAUUACUGGGCGUAAAGCGCACGUAGGCGGCUUGGUAUGUCGGGUGUGAAAUCCCCGGGCUCAACCUGGGAACUGCAUCCGAAACUGCCUUGCUAGAGUAUGGGAGAGGGAAGUGGAAUUUCCGGUGUAGCGGUGAAAUGCGUAGAUAUCGGAAGGAACAUCAGUGGCGAAGGCGACUUCCUGGACCAAUACUGACGCGCAGGUGCGAAAGCGUGGGGAGCAAACAGG